This 273-nucleotide ribosomal RNA is filed under the name uncultured soil bacterium. RNAcentral describes it as "partial 16S ribosomal RNA". It matches the Rfam family "Bacterial small subunit ribosomal RNA", at positions 26 to 303 of the family's 1533-position model. The record is from RNAcentral.
AGGACGAACGCUGGCGGCGUGCUUAACACAUGCAAGUCGAGCGGAAAGGCCUUUCGGGGUACUCGAGCGGCGAACGGGUGAGUAACACGUGAGUAAUCCGCCCAUCGCUUCAGGAUAGCCAUCGGAAACGGUGAUUAAUACUGGAUAUGACAUUCCUUCGCAUGUUGGGGGUGUGGAAAGUUUUUCGGCGGUGGAUGUGCUCGCGGCCUAUCAGCUUGUUGGUGGGGUAAUGGCCUACCAAGGCUUUGACGGGUAGCCGGCCUGAGAGGGUGA